RNAcentral lists this signal recognition particle RNA (298 nucleotides) under Folsomia candida. RNAcentral describes it as "Metazoan signal recognition particle RNA". It matches the Rfam family "Metazoan signal recognition particle RNA". From Rfam's summary of the family: The signal recognition particle (SRP) is a universally conserved ribonucleoprotein. It is involved in the co-translational targeting of proteins to membranes. The record is from Rfam by way of RNAcentral. Lineage: Eukaryota; Metazoa; Arthropoda; Collembola; Entomobryomorpha; Isotomidae.
GCUGGGAGUUGUGGCGCACUCCUGUAAUCGAGCUACUUCGAGGCCGGUGUGUGUGGAUGGCUUGAGUCGGGGAACAACUGGGUGGUGGUUGGUUACGUUGAUUGGGGGCCCUAGCUGAGCUGCGAGUCAAUAUGGUUGCACGAGAGGAGUCUUGUGUAUCCAGGUUGGUUGAGGAUUGCCGAAUCGGGCCAGGGGUGAAAACCAGCAGCUCAAAGGCAACGCUUUCAGUAGCAGCGGGAUGACUCCUGAGAGUGCCUCCAUCAUUCAGCCUCGACAAUAUAGUCAGACCACAAACCAA